UGGGGAAUUUUGCACAAUGGGGGAAACCCUGAUGCAGCGACGCCGCGUGAUUUAGAAGGCCUUCGGGUUGUAAAAAUCUUUUCUAUGGGAAGAAAAUGACAGUACCAUAGGAAUAAGGACCGGCUAAUUACGUGCCAGCAGCCGCGGUAAUACGUAAGGUCCGAGCGUUGUCCGGAAUCAUUGGGCGUAAAGGGUACGUAGGCGGGUAAGCAAGUUAGAAGUGAAAUCCUAUAGCUCAACUAUAGUAAGCUUUUAAAACUGCUCAUCUUGAGGUAUGGAAGGGAAAGUGGAAUUCCUAGUGUAGCGGUAAAAUGCGCAGAUAUUAGGAGGAAUACCGGUGGCGAAGGCGACUUUCUGGCCAUACCCUGACGCUGAGGUACGAAAGCGUGGGUAGCAAACAGG
RNAcentral lists this ribosomal RNA (402 nucleotides) under bacterium. RNAcentral's name for it is "partial 16S ribosomal RNA". It matches the Rfam family "Bacterial small subunit ribosomal RNA", at positions 355 to 776 of the family's 1533-position model. The record is from RNAcentral.